Molecule: long non-coding RNA, 1423 nt
Organism: Neopelma chrysocephalum (saffron-crested tyrant-manakin)
Lineage: Eukaryota; Metazoa; Chordata; Aves; Passeriformes; Pipridae
Exons: 3
Source: RefSeq, a predicted model, not a curated record
UCUUCGUGUACAGAACAAAGCCCAAAGAACCUGUUUGUGUAUUUCAGUCCUUGCAGAGAUUCUUGGUGUGGAAUCCAGAGUAGUACUCUGGCUAUCCAACUCCACUUCUCCUGACUUUAAUGGAAAUAUCUUUCUAAUAUGGCUCAGAACGAAGGAACUACCGUCUGGUUCUAUAUGCAGCUGAGGCAAAGAGGAAUUAAUCUCCAAGGCCAUACCAAAGAAUGUGUUACAGGAAAUAAAAAACAGCUCUGGAUAAAAUUACUGGCUUGAUCACAACACUGCUUAAUUCCCAGAAGCCAAAGAACAUCUGACCAGCCUGAGCAACUGAGGCAGCUGCUCACAGAACCACACUGCAGCCAACAGCAGGGCCCACUGAAGAAACAGAGAAACUCUUGUUUUUUGCAAUUAAUGAGCUAAAGAAACUGAACUAUCAAUUCUGUAAGACCAUAUUAUUGUUAACAUUUCAAACCACCUGAGGAUUUGUAACUCUUGAUUUUGAUCUCAGAUGGACCACAAACUGUCCUGUACAAUUGUUGAUGACAGUGUGGUGUGGAAAAUGACCCCAUAUUAUCAGCUGUGGGUGCCAAGAUCUAGUAACUCAUUGCAAACAAUAAGUAAAAUCCUUGUUGGGCUGAUUCUACUAGAAUAAUUUAUUGAUGUUAAAGGACAUCCUCUUGCCCCUCCCCCCCAAGAUAAGACAGAAAGCUCCCAGAAGUCUCCAAGAAUUAAGAUAAGAAUGUCCACACCACUUCAUAUUUCUAACAGUUAAGUAUUUAAAGGAGCUACUAUCGAGCUCAAGAAAAGCAAAAACUUGGCAUGCCAAUUUAAGAUCUGGAAUUUGUAAUUAUUUGUUUUGAAUAUGCUGUAAGAUUAGCAAAUAUCCAAACCUAAGUAGCUAACUAGUUUGUUUUCCUGGGAUUUUAUGAGAUUCAUAGAUUUCAGAAGAGACUCAGAAGCAAUUAAAAACAUUAUUUUUGCAUAUCUAGGUUAAAAAGAACAUUCCAGUGUUGGAAGUCUUGAAUGUAUAUUCUUAAUUUUUUUUUUUUUUUAGUCUUAAUAUCACAGCAAACAAUAUUGUUUGGACUGACAGUUUUGGCAAGAAUUUUAACUCAUGAAAAUACCUGAAUAACAAGAAGCAUGUGAUUUUACUCUCUCUUCUGGGAUCAGCCUGAGAAAGGAAUUUAUUUUUUUUCCCCUUGUUUUUAACAAUAGCUGAUUAUUCCUUGCCUCUCACUAUGGCAUUUACCCAUUGCAACCUCUUGCCUGGGAUGGAAAUCCCUAAAAUCCUGCAUCUUGAAACGGAGAUAUGAGGAAAUAAAAGUGUACACUUUAUACACUCUCCAUUUUUAAUGAUUCUGCAUGCAGAUUGCAUGAACCAGUAACAAGUUGCACUGUUAACUCAGAUCCUGGAAACAUAUCCUUC